GACGAACCGUGCGAACGUUGUUCGGAUUCACUGGGCUUAAAGGGCGCGUAGGCGGGCUGCCAAGUCCGGGGUGAAAGCCCCCAGCUUAACUGGGGAAGGGCCUCGGAUACUGGUUGCCUUGAGGAGGGUAGGGGCGUCUGGAACGGUCGGUGGAGCGGUGAAAUGCGUUGAUAUCGACCGGAACUCCGGUGGCGAAGGCGAGGCGCUGGACCCUUUCUGACGCUGAGGCGCGAAAGCCAGGGGAGCAAACGGG
This 253-nucleotide ribosomal RNA is filed under the name uncultured bacterium. RNAcentral's name for it is "partial 16S ribosomal RNA". It matches the Rfam family "Bacterial small subunit ribosomal RNA", at positions 524 to 776 of the family's 1533-position model. The record is from RNAcentral.